This 399-nucleotide long non-coding RNA is filed under the name Vigna radiata. Its description in RNAcentral is "long non-coding RNA (VRAD_LNC011917)". The record is from RNAcentral. Lineage: Eukaryota; Viridiplantae; Streptophyta; Magnoliopsida; Fabales; Fabaceae.
AAGUACAUACCUUGUUCGAAGAACUGGCCAAAUCCAUUGCACCCAAAAACGAAGAGAAAAGGCGAAACUUUAAACAAACCUUCCACAUACAUCGGUGACCACAGAGCACGAACGAAAAUGAACAGGGCAGCCAGUGAACAAAACAAACACACAAAAUGAAAUCAAAAUGAAACCCUAAAAAUGGAGGAGGGAAAGGAGUGCUAUGAAGAGAGAAGUUGAAAUGAAAUUCAAAUCCCUAAAAUGGAGAGAGAACAAAGUGAUAAUGAGAAAAGAAAGACUUCAAAAACGAUAAGGACAUUUCCGGAAUCCAAUAUUCAACCCAUUCCAAAUCAGAUUUUAAAUUUUAAAAAAACAUUCAAAUUCGUUCAAUUAAAACUUGACACGUGGCGUUGUCAAAUU